GUACUGCUGAAGAGUCCCAAAUUGUGACGAAAUAGCCAUCCAGUAC
This 46-nucleotide non-coding RNA is filed under the name Trichobilharzia regenti. The record is from RNAcentral. Lineage: Eukaryota; Metazoa; Platyhelminthes; Trematoda; Strigeidida; Schistosomatidae.